CAGCCUGUAAUAGACAUUAUAUGCUUAAAAUACAUGUACGUCCAAAUUUUAGAAAACGGAUUAACCUACAAUAAGACACUUUUUUUUUCAAAAAUUGUGAGAGAGUUUGCUAUAUAAAGUCCACAUUUCUCAUGCGCAUUCAUACACUGAAUAUUAUCAAGACAAGUCACAGUCAGGAAAUUACAUAAAGAUGUCAAGUCAGCAGAAAGGUGGUAGUUACACCGGUCCUGAAAUGAAGGGGAAUAUGGAUAACCGGAGCAACCAGUGUAAUCCAAAUAAUCAAACUUACCAGGGACAUACUUCUUCUGGAUAUGGCGGUACAGGGACGAGAGCUGAUCUUGGCAACCAUUCCAAUCAGCUCAAUCCAAACAACUCAAGAUAUCAGGCUCCGAAAAAGUGAUGUUUUAACAUUAUGUGAAGAUAAAGACUGUUGAAUGUCCAUAAAAAUAUAAAUAAAGAAAAUUAAUUUUGAGAAAA
This is a long non-coding RNA of Ruditapes philippinarum (Manila clam), 477 nucleotides long. RefSeq lists it as uncharacterized. Lineage: Eukaryota; Metazoa; Mollusca; Bivalvia; Venerida; Veneridae. The record is from RefSeq and is a predicted model, not a curated record. The transcript is spliced from 3 exons.